RNAcentral lists this ribosomal RNA (1241 nucleotides) under metagenome. RNAcentral's name for it is "bacterial LSU rRNA". It matches the Rfam family "Bacterial large subunit ribosomal RNA", at positions 1564 to 2815 of the family's 2925-position model. The record is from RNAcentral.
UGAAUACGAGAUGCUACGGCGUCGAAGCAGUCUAUGUCAUACUUCCAAGAAAAGCUUGCACUGUCAUAAACAAAUAAUGCCUGUACCAUAACCGACACAGGUGGGUAGGUAGAGUAUACUAAGGGGCGCGAGAUAACUCUCUCUAAGGAACUCGGCAAAAUGACUCCGUAACUUUGGGAGAAGGAGUGCCUUAUUUAUAAGGUUGCAAUAACAAGAUCCAAGCAACUGUUUACCAAAAACACAGGUCUCCGCUAAGUCGUAAGACGAUGUAUGGGGGCUGACGCCUGUUCAGUGCCAGAAGGUUAAAGAAGUUGGUUAGCAUUUGCGAAGCUGAUAACUGAAGCCCUGGUGAACGGCGGCCGUAAUUAUAACGGUCCUAAGGUAGUGAAAUUCCUUGUCGGGUAAGUUCCGACCCGUAUGAAAGGCGUAAUGAUUUGGAUACUGUCUCGGAGAGGGGCUCGGUGAAAUAGACUUGUCUGUGAAGAUGCGGACUACCUGCACCAGGACAGAAAGACCCUAUGAAGCUUUACUGUAACCUGAAAUUGAAAUUGGACUUUACUUGCGCAGUAUAGGUGGGAGGCGUUGAGAAUAUUCUUGCGGGAUUAUUGGAGCCAUCAGUGAGAUACCACUCUUGUAAUGUUAGAUUUCUAACUUUGUAUCAUUAUUUGGUCAAAGAACAGUUUCAGGCGGGCAGUUUGACUGGGGCGGUCGCCUCCUAAACGGUAACGGAGGCGCACAAAGGUUUCCUCUGAACGGGUAGAAAUCGUAUCUAGAGUGUAAAGGCAUAAGGAAGCUUGACUGUGAGACCUACAAGUCGAGCAGGGACGAAAGUCGGUCUUAGUGAUCUGACGGUGCUGAGUGGAAAGGCCGUCACUCAACGGAUAAAAGUUACUCUAAGGAUAACAGGCUGAUCUCCCCCAAGAGUUUUUAUCGACGGGGAGGUUUGGCACCUCGAUGUCGGCUCAUCGCAUCCUGGGGCGGUAGUACGUCCCAAGGGUUGGGCUUUCGCCCAUGAAAGCGGUACGCGAGCUGGGUUCAGAACGUCGUGAGACAGUUCGGUCCAUAUCCGGUGUAGGCGUUAGAAUAUUGAGAGGAGCCUUCUUUAGUACGAGAGGACCGAGAAGGACAUACCUCUGGUGUACCAGUUAUCGUGCCAACGGUAAACGCUGGGUAGCUAUGUGUGGAGUGGAUAACCGCUGAAAGCAUCUAAGUGGGAAGCCCACCUCAAGAUAAGUAUUCGC